GACGAACGCUGGCGGCGUGCCUAAUACAUGCAAGUAGAACGCUGAAGGAGGAGCUUGCUUCUCCGGAUGAGUUGCGAACGGGUGAGUAACGCGUAGGUAACCUGCCUGGUAGCGGGGGAUAACUAUUGGAAACGAUAGCUAAUACCGCAUAAGAGUAGAUGUUGCAUGACAUUUGCUUAAAAGGUGCAAUUGCAUCACUACCAGAUGGACCUGCGUUGUAUUAGCUAGUUGGUGGGGUAACGGCUCACCAAGGCGACGAUACAUAGCCGACCUGAGAGGGUGAUCGGCCACACUGGGACUGAGACACGGCCCAGACUCCUACGGGAGGCAGCAGUAGGGAAUCUUCGGCAAUAGACGGAAGUCUGACCGAGCAACGCCGCGGGAGUGAAGAAGGUUUUCGGAUCGUAAAGCUCUGUUGUAAGAGAAGAACGAGUGUGAGAGUGGAAAGUUCACACUGUGACGGUAUCUUACCAGAAAGGGACGGCUAACUACGUG
RNAcentral lists this ribosomal RNA (495 nucleotides) under uncultured bacterium. Its description in RNAcentral is "partial 16S ribosomal RNA". It matches the Rfam family "Bacterial small subunit ribosomal RNA", at positions 28 to 507 of the family's 1533-position model. The record is from RNAcentral.